GGUGAUGUGGCUCUUUGGUGGAGCACUUGACUAUCAAUUAUGGGGCUCUGGGUUCAGUUCCCAGCACCACAA
RNAcentral lists this transfer RNA (72 nucleotides) under Ictidomys tridecemlineatus (thirteen-lined ground squirrel). RNAcentral's name for it is "Spermophilus tridecemlineatus (thirteen-lined ground squirrel) tRNA". It matches the Rfam family "tRNA". Rfam says of the family: Transfer RNA (tRNA) molecules are approximately 80 nucleotides in length. Their secondary structure includes four short double-helical elements and three loops (D, anti-codon, and T loops). The record is from Rfam by way of RNAcentral. Lineage: Eukaryota; Metazoa; Chordata; Mammalia; Rodentia; Sciuridae.